Molecule: non-coding RNA, 114 nt
Organism: Acanthosepion pharaonis
Lineage: Eukaryota; Metazoa; Mollusca; Cephalopoda; Sepiida; Sepiidae
Source: the annotation of a GenBank genome assembly
UUACGACGAUAUCAUGUUGAAACACCUGUUUCCAUACGAUCACCAAAGUUAAGAAACACCGAGCCUGGUCAGUACCUAGAUGAGUGACCACUUGGGAAUACCAGGUGCUGUAAG